AAAGCUUUGAAGACAUCUACAAUGAUGACAUAUGAAUACAAAUGUCUUAUGACAAAAAGUAAUAUGAGACAUCUAUAUUUAUUUUUUCUCUUCAAUACAAGCUAUCAUUAUUGGGCAUCAUAAAAAAUAGAAAAUAAAGACUAAUAUAUAUGCAUCUCUACUUUUCACCCUAACUUUUUCAGUUUUUUACACCAGAUCAUAUUUUUCUCUUCAAACACCCGCCUCCUGCAAAGGAUUCCGCUUCCUCAUCCGAAUCUAUUUUUGCUGACAAUCAAUCCUGCAUGACAUAUGAGACAUCAUCUUGAGAAAGGAUCCGGAGGCCGCUCUCACGUCGUGACCGAAAGUUCAUCAUGCCAAAGACAAUUGGCUGCUCGUCGAUAUUUCUUUUUCUCAAGAAAAACAUCAGCAGGAGGCCAUCCUGCAUUUUUUUAAUUAGAGAACUCUCGCAGGUGAGCACUUCAUGGUUUAGUGAGCUCAUUCUGAGAGUCGUAGCUUCGCGUUAGAUCUGGCUUGCGUAAAGGCAAAUUUUAUAUAACCCUUUUUUACAUGUAAGGUAAAAAAUUAGAAGUUAACCCGACUAUUAAUUAAUAUGAUCAAUGGCUCAAAUUUAUUAUAUAUCUCACCUUUCACGCGAAAAAAA
Molecule: long non-coding RNA, 640 nt
Filed under: Hordeum vulgare
Lineage: Eukaryota; Viridiplantae; Streptophyta; Magnoliopsida; Poales; Poaceae
Description: long non-coding RNA (HVUL_LNC003551)
Source: RNAcentral